Molecule: ribosomal RNA, 1034 nt
Filed under: human gut metagenome
Description: bacterial SSU rRNA
Rfam family: Bacterial small subunit ribosomal RNA
Source: RNAcentral
AGGCUUAACACAUGCAAGUCGAGGGGCAGCGGGGAGGAAGCUUGCUUUCUCUGCCGGCGACCGGCGCACGGGUGAGUAACGCGUAUCGAACCUGCCUCAUACUCGGGAAUAGCCUUGCGAAAGUAAGAUUAAUGCCCGAUGUUUUCAGUGGUCCGCAUGAACUGCUGAACAAAGAUUUAUCGGUAUGAGAUGGCGAUGCGUCCCAUUAGCUUGUUGGCGGGGUAACAGCCCACCAAGGCAUCGAUGGGUAGGGGUUCUGAGAGGAAGGUCCCCCACAUUGGAACUGAGACACGGUCCAAACUCCUACGGGAGGCAGCAGUGAGGAAUAUUGGUCAAUGGACGCAAGUCUGAACCAGCCAAGUAGCGUGCAGGAUGACGGCCCUCCGGGUUGUAAACUGCUUUUAGUUGGGAAUAAAGUGCAGCUCGUGAGCUGUUUUGUAUGUACCAUCAGAAAAAGGACCGGCUAAUUCCGUGCCAGCAGCCGCGGUAAUACGGAAGGUCCAGGCGUUAUCCGGAUUUAUUGGGUUUAAAGGGAGCGCAGGCGGACUCUUAAGUCAGUUGUGAAAUACGGCGGCUCAACCGUCGAACUGCAGUUGAUACUGGAGUCCUUGAGUGUACACAGGGAUGCUGGAAUUCAUGGUGUAGCGGUGAAAUGCUCAGAUAUCAUGAAGAACUCCGAUCGCGAAGGCAGGUAUCCGGGGUGCAACUGACGCUGAGGCUCGAAAGUGCGGGGAUCAAACAGGAUUAGAUACCCUGGUAGUCCGCACAGUAAACGAUGAAUACUCGCGGUUGGCGAUAUACUGUCAGCCGCCAAGCGAAAGCGUUAAGUAUUCCACCUGGGGAGUACGCCGGCAACGGUGAAACUCAAAGGAAUUGACGGGGGCCCGCACAAGCGGAGGAACAUGUGGUUUAAUUCGAUGAUACGCGAGGAACCUUACCCGGGCUUGAACUGAGGGGGAAUGAGCCAGAGAUGACUCAGUCUUCGGACUCCCUUGGAGGUGCUGCAUGGUUGUCGUCAGCUCGUGCCGUGAGGU